CAGCGAACGUCUCAGUGCGCCCCACGUGGAUUCCGACCGCACGAACUUCGGGUUACCAAUUUCUCCGUCGGGCCUAACCUCCAAUAAAGGCAAGCUAAGACAAAAGGAGGUCUGUACUCGGUUCUCUACUUCGAGGGUUUACUGGAAAUUUUCGAGCUGCAGAAAUGGGGAAUCAACCGAAUACUCCUUCCAACAAUCAGAGAGCGACUACCGUGUUUGAUCUCGACGUUGAUGCUCUGUCCCGCUGCGUGCGAAAUCUAAGCCUUCAAGACCUCUCGAGGAUGGCCAUGACCUGCAAAUUCUUCCGGGGAGUCGCAUAUUCCGAUUCGAUCUGGCAUGGUUGGCUAAGGGAACAUUGCCCGCAACAGUAUACAUCAUCUAGCUUUUCACAAAUUUCAGGAGUUAGGGAAGCAUAUUUGGCUAGGCGUACUGCAUUGCACCAAUUUAAAUUUCAUGAUCCUUUAACUAGGUAUCUCCUUGAGAAUCCAACACCUUGCAGCCAUAUCUUGCUGGACAAAAACCAUGUCUAUCUUGCACAGGGUUCAUCUGUAUUCCUAAUGGAGGAUGCUUUUUCUGGUGACAAAUUUCCUUCGGAAGGAAAAAUGCAAUGGGCUCACAAUGCAAGAAUCACAUGUAUGAGACUUUUUUCCAAUAAGGACACUUGGUUUCAAAGUGAGGCACAAAAUAAUGAUAAUGUUUUGGUAACCUCAAGCAGCGACUGGACCAUUCGUUUAUGGUGGAAGGGCCGUUCCCAACGUUGUCUUAGGGGUCGCAAUGGCCCAGUUACCACCCUCGCAGAUAAGCUGCUUGGUGAUUCUAGUGGAGAAGUACUAGCAAGUGGAGGACAAGAUGGUACCGUUCGUCUCUGGUCCCUUGGCUCUAGCGGCAAGCGUGGAAAACGUGCUUUAAAAACUACACUUCAUGGGCAUGAGAAACCUGUAACAUUGUUGUCAGUUCCUGGGCAUAAUCCUUCUCUUUUGGUGAGUGUUUCAAAAGAUGCAAAGGUGAGGGUUUGGGAUACAAGUGCAUCUUCAGGGGCUCGUUCCUCAGGGUGUGUGGGAAUGGCAUGUGUGCAUGGUGCACUUGUUGGUAUAAAAUGUCAUGAAGCACUAUGUUAUAUUGCUGCUGGCUCUUCAGUUACUGCAAUUGAUUUAAGGACAAUGCGAAAGGUUUCGACUGCAGCCAUUCACCAGCCCAAGCUAUACUCUUUUGAGUCAUUACCCUCCAAAUCCUUAAUCUGCACAGGUGGAGAUGACAAAACGAUGUUAUGGGAUAUUAGAAAAAAUCAAGAGAAACCAAAGCCGGUGGCGAUUAUGGAUGGCCACUCAGGUUAUGUAGCUCAUAUACACAUGGAUCCGUACAAGAUAGUCACUGGAGGACCAGAGGAUUUGUAUGUGAAGGUUUGGGAGACUGAUACAGGUAUCCUAGCGAAUUCUUUUACUUGCUGCAUACCCGAUUUCGAGGAAUCUAGUGGUGGGUUGUUGGCCAUGUCUGUAAAGGGUUGCCGGAUUGUUACAAGUAGUUGGUGCCUAGAACCAGGCCUCCUAGAACCAGGCCUCAUAUGCUUUAGGGACUUCACCAAUGCUUCUAAUCCACUUUCUUCAAGCGAGUGCAGUUCCACUACCAAGUUUUGGGAAUCGGAAUUUAGCUUUGAUGGCUGAAUGCUUUGUUGGGCUUGUGUAACAAGAUCAAUAAACUUGGCUGUUGUAAAGGUGUCAACUGCAUAAUUAUUAAGUGUACCUAAAACAAUACCUGUCAAUGAGGCAAAGGAGCUAUAUGAUCCUCAAGAAGAUGUGGUUCUGUGACCUGUGGUGAUGAAUUCUGUGGCCCUACCAUUGAAUGACUAUCGUCUACAACUCUCUGACUUUGGAGAUCCAAGCAUCUUAUCUUUGGAUUCUUUUCAAUUGAACAUGGCUUCUUGUCAUACCUACAUUCUCAUUCAUUUCUCAUUCAUCCAUUAGCAGGUUGCAAUUUGACAGUUUAGGCUUGCUGAAGGUUUUUGUGGUAUGGUCCGUCCAUCAGAUCAAUGGUCUGAAUCAUCAAACUAUGGGCCCCACUUGGUUGAGAUAGAUUAUAGGAU
This is an RNA transcript of Magnolia sinica, 2080 nucleotides long. It is a transcript of the gene named ribosome biogenesis protein YTM1-like, with no coding region annotated. The record is from RefSeq and is a predicted model, not a curated record. Lineage: Eukaryota; Viridiplantae; Streptophyta; Magnoliopsida; Magnoliales; Magnoliaceae. The transcript is spliced from 9 exons.